Molecule: ribosomal RNA, 289 nt
Filed under: uncultured bacterium
Lineage: Bacteria
Description: partial 16S ribosomal RNA
Rfam family: Bacterial small subunit ribosomal RNA
Source: RNAcentral
AACGAACGCUGGCGGCAGGCUUAACACAUGCAAGUCGAACGAGCUGAGGCCUUCGGGUCUCGAUGCUAGUGGCGCACGGGUGAGUAACGCGUGGGAACGUACCCUUUAGUACGGAAUAACUGAGGGAAACUUCAGCUAAUACCGUAUACGCCCUUCGGGGAAGGAUUAUCGCUAAAGGAAGUCGGCCCGCGUCUGAUUAGGUAGUUGGUGAGGUAAUGGCUCACCAAGCCUACGAUCAGUAGCUGGUCUGAGAGGAUGAUCAGCCACACUGGGACUGAGACACGGCCCA